This 251-nucleotide ribosomal RNA is filed under the name uncultured bacterium. RNAcentral's name for it is "partial 16S ribosomal RNA". It matches the Rfam family "Bacterial small subunit ribosomal RNA", at positions 525 to 775 of the family's 1533-position model. The record is from RNAcentral.
ACGUAGGUGGCGAGCGUUACUCGGAAUUACUAGGCGUAAAGCGUAUGUAGGCGGUCAGAUAAGUCUUUAGUGAAAUUUCCCGGCUCAACCGGGAAAGGUCUAAGGAUACUGUUUGGCUUGAGUGUGGGAGGGGGAGACGGAAUUCCUGGUGUAGCGGUGAAAUGCGUAGAUAUCAGGAGGAACACCGAUGGCGAAAGCAGUCUCCUGGCCCAAUACUGACGCUAAUGUACGAAAGCUAGGGUAGCAAACAG